This 255-nucleotide ribosomal RNA is filed under the name uncultured prokaryote. RNAcentral describes it as "partial 16S ribosomal RNA". It matches the Rfam family "Bacterial small subunit ribosomal RNA", at positions 524 to 776 of the family's 1533-position model. The record is from RNAcentral.
UACGGGGGGGAGCAAGCGUUGUUCGGAUUUACUGGGCGUAAAGGGCGCGUAGGCGGUCAGCACAAGUCAGUUGUGAAAUCUCCGGGCUUAACUCGGAAAGGUCAACUGAUACUGUGCGACUAGAGUGCGGAAGGGGCAACUGGAAUUCUCGGUGUAGCGGUGAAAUGCGUAGGUAUCGAGAGGAACACCAAUAGCGAAGGCAGCUCGCUGGGACGGUACUGACGCUGAGGUGCGAAAGCGUGGGGAGCAAACAGG